CCCUUAGAUGUUCUGGGCCGCACGCGCGCUACACUGAUUCAUGCAACAAGUUUUGUCCUUGGCUGAUAGGCCUGGGUAAUCUUUGAACGUGAAUCGUGAUGGGGAUAGAUGAUUGCAAUUAUUCAUCUUCAACGAGGAAUUCCUAGUAAACGCAAGUCAUCAGCUUGCAUUGAUUACGUCCCUGCCCUUUGUACACACCGCCCGUCGCACCUACCGAUUGAAUGGUCCGGUGAAAUCUUCGGAUCUGAGAGAUGUCUGAUUAAUUUCGGACGCCUUUUGGAAAAGUUGUUUAAACCUUACCAUUUAGAGGAAGAUGAAGUCGUAACA
Molecule: ribosomal RNA, 327 nt
Filed under: uncultured eukaryote
Lineage: Eukaryota
Description: partial 18S ribosomal RNA
Rfam family: Eukaryotic small subunit ribosomal RNA
Source: RNAcentral